ACAAUAAUAUUGGGUUGCCCAAGAAGUAAUUGCGGAUUUUUUGAAAGAAAAACUUCUGGCUUAAAUCUGCAAAAAACUGAACCAAGUGCGAUUUUAUAGCCUCAUCAUUGCCCAAAGUUUUACCAUUUAAGGAGUUCUGCAAAGAUCGAAAUAAAUGGUAGUCUGAUGGUGCAAGGUCAGGGCUAUAUGGUGGAUACAUCAAAACUUUCCAGCCAAGCUGUCCCAGUUUUUGGCGGGUCAUCAAAGAUGUGUGUGGUCUGGCGUUGUCAUGAUGGAAAAUGAAAAAUUUACGAUUGAUCAUUUCUGGCCGUUUCUCGUUGAUGGCUGCAUUCAAUUUGUCCAGUUAUUGACAGUAAACAUCCGAAUUAAUCGUUUGGUUCCUUGGAAACAGCUCAAAAUGUACCACACCCUUGCAAUCCCAUGGCUCAUCUUUAAGUGAAAAAUCUCCAGAACGGAAUUUGCGAAACCAAUUUUGACACUAUCUUUCUUUUAAGGCUUUAUCACCAUACACAUCACGUAACUUUUUAGCAACUCUCUCUGCGCUUUUUCCUUUACGGAAAUAAUAAAGUAAAAUAUGACGAAAA
Molecule: long non-coding RNA, 584 nt
Organism: Drosophila sulfurigaster albostrigata
Lineage: Eukaryota; Metazoa; Arthropoda; Insecta; Diptera; Drosophilidae
Exons: 2
Source: RefSeq, a predicted model, not a curated record